This is a long non-coding RNA of Adelges cooleyi (spruce gall adelgid), 141 nucleotides long. RefSeq lists it as uncharacterized. The record is from RefSeq and is a predicted model, not a curated record. The transcript is spliced from 3 exons. Lineage: Eukaryota; Metazoa; Arthropoda; Insecta; Hemiptera; Adelgidae.
CAGACCUUACUGAAGAUGAUGUAGCAGCUCAAGCUCGUAGUGAUAAAUCUAUACAAGAUCUUGGAGAUGCACGAAGAAAAAUGUUAGACCCAGUUUUAGCAUUGUUAAUAAUCAAUAUUAUGAGCAACCCAAGGAGUCACA